AUGCAUAACAUAAUUUGUCCAUGUGCGUUGCCCCAUGCUAUAUCCAUUUUUUCUUUCUAUGCUUGCACAUGUCUGAAGUCCAGACCUAGAGUGCUGCUUUUCAAUAUGUUGGCUAUGCAUGCAUGUAAUAUGUGUUGUACAUCUAUUUUAGUAGAGGAUUCACUGUAUACUUUUCACAUGCCAUUUCCAACCUCUUUGGAAGCAUAUAUGUCAACCUGCUAUAUUACUAUAUUUAUAUAUUUAUUAAUUUGGAACAAUUUCUGGGUAUACGAGGAUGUACCAAGUCAGACAGAACUAAUUCGUCAACCCAAGUUAGUUGCACAAUCAGACCUGAUUUCUAAUAGACUUUAA
This 351-nucleotide ribosomal RNA is filed under the name Triticum aestivum (bread wheat). RNAcentral describes it as "partial small subunit ribosomal RNA". The record is from RNAcentral. Lineage: Eukaryota; Viridiplantae; Streptophyta; Magnoliopsida; Poales; Poaceae.